Molecule: long non-coding RNA, 747 nt
Organism: Papaver somniferum (opium poppy)
Lineage: Eukaryota; Viridiplantae; Streptophyta; Magnoliopsida; Ranunculales; Papaveraceae
Exons: 2
Source: RefSeq, a predicted model, not a curated record
UUUUGAUCUCUUGCUAGGAACAUGUAAUAGAAUCAAAAUCACUAAAACAUACAGUAGAGAUUGUUGUUUCUCUAGCGAUCUUGCUAACGCAUCAUCCACCUGAUUGUCAUCUCUACUGACAUAAUCAAAAGUGCAUAAAUUGAAACAACAUGUUAUCGAUCAAGCCCAGAGAAACUAUGAAACAACAUAUUACAGUAAAACCUCUGUUUCAGAAUAUUAUUGGGACCAUAUAUAAUUAUUCUUAUAUGGAGUUUAUUCUUUUAUAAAGCAUACAUCAACAACUCCUUGAAUAAUUUCCCUACAACAGCCUGCAUCUUGUGCGACUGGUAAGUUAUUACUCAACAGGAGCCUACUGAUGUUGAUAUCACCAAGAAAAGACAUGUGUAUUCCAAAAUAGAGAAGUAAGUGUUGAUAUUGAUAUCACCAAGAAAAGAAAGAUCUCUUCUAGCCAAGGGUAAAAGAAAAUUAGUUAGAAGGUGAUCAAAUGGAAAGGUUCAACGAGCUUUCAAUGUUUCUAACUAUCUUCAAGAUCGCUAGAGAAACAACAAUCUCUACUGUAUGUUUUAGUGAUUUUGAUUCUAUUAUAUGUUCCUAGCAAGAGAUCAAAGCACUAGUCAUUAAAUAAAAAAAAAAAUUAUCAGAGAAAAAAAAAAGUUUCUCUUGGUGAAUAUAUUGCUUACAAAACACAAGUUAUCCGAAUAAAAGGGCGUAUCUUUUUGGUCAAAAGAUGCGUCAAUUUGUCUAGUA